AACGGCAGCGCGGACUUCGGUCUGGCGGCGAGUGGCGAACGGGUGAGUAAUGCAUCGGAACGUGCCCAGUAGCGGGGGAUAACUACGCGAAAGCGUAGCUAAUACCGCAUACGCCCUACGGGGGAAAGGGGGGGAUCGCAAGACCUCUCACUAUUGGAGCGGCCGAUGUCGGAUUAGCUAGUUGGUGGGGUAAAGGCCUACCAAGGCGACGAUCCGUAGCUGGUUUGAGAGGACGACCAGCCACACUGGGACUGAGACACGGCCCAGACUCCUACGGGAGGCAGCAGUGGGGAAUUUUGGACAAUGGGGGCAACCCUGAUCCAGCCAUGCCGCGUGUGCGAAGAAGGCCUUCGGGUUGUAAAGCACUUUUGGCAGGAAAGAAACGGCGCCGGAUAAUACCUGGCGUAACUGACGGUACCUGCAGAAUAAGCACCGGCUAACUACGUGCCAGCAGCCGCGGUAAUACGUAGGGUGCAAGCGUUAAUCGGAAUUACUGGGCGUAAAGCGUGCGCAGGCGGUUCGGAAAGAAAGAUGUGAAAUCCCAGGGCUCAACCUUGGAACUGCAUUUUUAACUCCCGAACUAGAGUAUGUCAGAGGGGGGUGGAAUUCCACGUGUAGCAGUGAAAUGCGUAGAUAUGUGGAGGAACACCGAUGGCGAAGGCAGCCCCCUGGGAUAAUACUGACGCUCAUGCACGAAAGCGUGGGGAGCAACAGGAUUAGAUACCCUGGUAGUCCACGCCCUAAACGAUGUCAACUAGCUGUUGGGUUCUUCGGAGCUUGGUAGCGCAGCUAACGCGUGAAGUUGACCGCCUGGGGAGUACGGUCGCAAGAUUAAACUCAAAGGAUUGACGGGGACCCGCAC
Molecule: ribosomal RNA, 862 nt
Filed under: uncultured bacterium
Lineage: Bacteria
Description: bacterial SSU rRNA
Rfam family: Bacterial small subunit ribosomal RNA
Source: RNAcentral